Molecule: long non-coding RNA, 433 nt
Organism: Capra hircus (goat)
Lineage: Eukaryota; Metazoa; Chordata; Mammalia; Artiodactyla; Bovidae
Exons: 2
Source: RefSeq, a predicted model, not a curated record
GGGGAGCAGUUAUGAGGCCUGUAGGGCAGAAGAGGCCCCAGUCUCAGCCUCCAUCUGAAAACCUGCUAUGUGAUCCUGGGCCAAUCCCUGGCCCUGCCCCUUCCUGGCUCAGGGACUUUGGCCUGGAACGUGGAUGAGGCAGCUGUGGCUCCAGCAGCCAUCCUGGACCACGAGGUGAUCGAGAGAAUGAAGGCCCCAAGCUCACAAUGAUGGAGCAGAAAGACAGAAAGGGGCUGUGUUUCUAACGACACUGUGGCGCCAUCAUCCCAGCUCUGCUCGUGGUCACCUUCUAUGUGUGAGAGAAAUAAUCUUCUAUCUAAGUAAGCCACUCUUAAAUGUAUCAGUUUCUCCUUUACCUUGUAUUCUAGUGUUGUCUUUGUUUGUGUUAUGUCCAAUCUCUCUUACUAGCCACUGAAUAAAAAAUCUCACUGAC